UCCUGAUACCGAUCUAUCAGCUGAUAUAGAAACAUAUCAAUUAUUAUCAAACCUUUAUGACAAAGAAAUUAAUUGAGGUUUAAAAUUUUACCCAUAAACUUUAUUAUUAAUAACGAUUAAAUAAAUAAACCAACAAAUACAAAGAGCCUGAAUUUAGAAAAUAAUUAUUUUUAUGUAAAUUCCAUGGACAUCUGUCCUUUUCUUCUGUAAAAUGAAAGUUAGGCUCUCUUCCUUUGAAACCACUUAGUUAAUCAAUGUGUUCAGAUAGUAUUAGUAGUAGUUGUAGUAUUUGUAUCACUGCAGAUGUACUGACUGUGUGUGUGUGUGUGUGUGUGUGUGUGUGUGUGUGUGUGUGUGUGUGUGUGUGUGUGUGUGUGUGUGUGUGUGUGUGUGUGUGUGUGUGUGUGUGUGUGUGUGUGUGUGUGUGUGUGUGUGUGUGUGUGUGUGUGUGUAGGAGCAGCCCCGCCCUCUGCCGGGGGCCCAGGACGCUCCAGGCCCGGACCGUCAUCCAGCAGUGCAGCCAGGCCAAGGUGAAGAUCCGACCUGCUCUGGACGGGGCCGAGGCUCAGUGGGCCGAGAUCCAGGAGGGAAUGGUUGUGUACGUCUGCUUCUCCCGUGAAGCCACGGAAAACAUCACGGAUGAAAUAGCCAACACUCUGAUGACCACCAAACUGUUCCGGAAGGACACCCGGCACUGGGCCUCGGUGCUCGAGCUUCCCGGGAGCGUUUUGUUGGUCCCCCAGGACUCCCUGCUGGGCGAGCCCGUGCCCAAGAGGAAGAUGCAGUUCAAGGGCGGGUGCGAGCCGUGGUGGGGCGCCCAGCUCUUCUCCAACCUGGUGUCCACCUGCAGGGAGCUGCUGCAGGGCUCAGUGAAGUGCACCAGGGCGGGGGUGAAGGUGGAGCAGGGAGUCUACGGCCAGAAACAAGAGAUGGUGCUGAGCUGUGCCGAGCCGCUGACGGUCCUGCUGGAGUUCUGAGGGACAGACGGACAGGAGGACAGGAGGACGUCCACUGAUCUGAAUCUGAAGGUCCGAGUCUCUCACCUGUUCUCACCACAGAUCAGAUCACAUCAUUAGUCACAGAUUGGAUCGUUUUUCAGAUCAUCAGUUCCAUAAAUAUAAAGAUAGAUAUAGAUAUAGAUGAAAACAAAUCCCCCCCAGAGAUCUAGAGUAGACAGAUCUACACGUCAGUUACAUGACAGGAGACUUUUUGUGCUUUUCUGCUUCUGAAGAACAAUUAAGAUGAUUAAAAAGAGACGAUUGAGACGUUUGAGACGUUCACACGUGAGAAAACAACGAAAAGUUGUUAGUAUUCUCUGAUUUGUAUUCGUCCACAUUAACACGGUUUUCAGACACUUCACCUUAAAUAAGUUUACACCUUAAACAAAGACUUUAGUGAGUUUAGUUCCCUCUGCUGCUGAUGACCUGUCAGUAGAUCAUCUGCUUCCUGUUUACAUCACAUGACCGCUACGUGAAUCAUCAGGUGACUCUUCAGCUCGACUCCAUGUUUUUGAAUCCGUUAAAUGGACUUCAUAUAUUUUUGUUAAUGAUUAUACUGUACAGUUGAGUCUAAAUCUUGAUAUUAAAUAACUAUUUUUUGUUAAAUAAAAUGUGUAUUUUA
Molecule: RNA transcript, 1620 nt
Organism: Pleuronectes platessa (European plaice)
Lineage: Eukaryota; Metazoa; Chordata; Actinopteri; Pleuronectiformes; Pleuronectidae
Gene name: D-aminoacyl-tRNA deacylase 2
Exons: 3
Source: RefSeq, a predicted model, not a curated record